AUGAACGCUGGCGGCAGGCCUAAAACAUGCAAGUCGAGCGACCGUAGCAAUACGGGAGCGGCGCACGGGUGAGUAGCACGUGGGAAUAUGCCUUUUGGUACGGAACAACGUCUGGAAACGGACGCUAAUACCGCAUACGCCCUAUGGGGGAAAGAUUUAUCGGCGAGAGAUUAGCCCGCGUCCGAUUAGCUAGUUGGUGAGGUAACGGCUCACCAAGGCGACGAUCGGUAGCUGGUCUGAGAGGAUGAUCAGCCACACUGGGACUGAGACACGGCCCAGACUCCUACGGGAGGCAGCAGUGGGGAAUAUUGGACAAUGGGCGCAAGCCUGAUCCAGCCAUGCCGCGUGAGUGAAGAAGGCCUUAGGGUUGUAAAGCUCUUUCGACGGGGACGAUGAUGACGGUACCCGUAGAAGAAGCCCCGGCUAACUUCGU
RNAcentral lists this ribosomal RNA (433 nucleotides) under uncultured bacterium. Its description in RNAcentral is "bacterial SSU rRNA". It matches the Rfam family "Bacterial small subunit ribosomal RNA", at positions 29 to 506 of the family's 1533-position model. The record is from RNAcentral.